This 431-nucleotide ribosomal RNA is filed under the name uncultured bacterium. RNAcentral's name for it is "partial 16S ribosomal RNA". It matches the Rfam family "Bacterial small subunit ribosomal RNA", at positions 338 to 795 of the family's 1533-position model. The record is from RNAcentral.
CCUACGGGUAGCUGCAGUGGGGAAUAUUGGACAAUGGGCGCAAGCCUGAUCCAGCCAUACCGCGUGGGUGAAGAAGGCCUUCGGGUUGUAAAGCCCUUUUUGAAGACACGCGGUACCCAAAGAAUAAGCACCGGCUAACUUCGUGCCAGCAGCCGCGGUAAUACGAAGGGUGCAAGCGUUACUCGGAAUUACUGGGCGUAAAGCGUGCGUAGGUGGUCGUUUAAGUCCGUUGUGAAAGCCCUGGGCUCAACCUGGGAACUGCAGUGGAUACUGGGCGACUAGAAUGUGGUAGAGGGUAGCGGAAUUCCUGGUGUAGCAGUGAAAUGCGUAGAGAUCAGGAGGAACAUCCAUGGCGAAGGCAGCUACCUGGACCAAAUGACACUGAGGCACGAAAGCGUGGGGAGCAAACAGGAUUAGAUACCCGAGUAGUC